CUCGUUACAUUGUCUUUCUUAGACUACUUUGAGGAUGUCAAUCAGACGCAGGAACCAACUGUCUAGAAAGAUGUUCCGGUCCAGCUCCCUCGGCUGAAGCAGCUUCUUCGGGCUGCUGCCGAUCCAGCACCUCCUGGAUCUCCACUCGCAAGUCCGUGGAGAACAGAACUUUGUGACCAGCUUGUCAAGGAAGAGCCAAGCGCUGCAUGGGAUGAAGCGAAUGCGUUGAGCCUCUCUGCCUCUCAGCUUGUUCUGACGCAGAUAUAAACCCGCUGUGCAGAUCGGCGGGGAGCUGUCGGAUGUGUAUGACUUUGUGGCCCCGUGGUACAGUCUAGGUUGCGUGCAUUUUCAAGUGCUGAGACUUUGCUGCUGCAACUUACAGCUAUGAGAUCUUCCUGCUGAUGGUGCAGCUGUAUACGGGGUGCUUCAUCCAGAUGCUGAGGGCCCUGGCUGACCGUGCAAGUGACCACAUCCUCAAGGUCGGUGUACAUUGUGGAGCUUUCGAGUAACUUCUAAACAGGUAACGAGCUGGGUUGUACAAUAUCAAGAGCAGUUGCUAAACUUAGGGGUGGAUGAGUUAAGCACCGCGCUACUUGCCAAGGACUCGCCAGAGUAGAACCACCGCCUAUCGAUAAGAUCUCGUUUGCGGCCUUACGCAGGGAGAUGGAAGGCGCUGGCUAUGCUACUGCGGGAGAGGAGAAUCGGAGGCUGGCUCAGGUCUACUGCGAUUGAGCAGCUGAUUACUCUAGGAAAACAGGUGGUUAUUCUAUAAACUGGAGGGUUUACUUCUUCCUGUGUUCAAUAUCAUUCUUAUAAAAACUCAAACCAUUUCCUGUCGCAAA
Long non-coding RNA from Selaginella moellendorffii, 842 nucleotides. RefSeq lists it as uncharacterized. The record is from RefSeq and is a predicted model, not a curated record. NCBI's taxonomy places the organism in Eukaryota, Viridiplantae, Streptophyta, Lycopodiopsida, Selaginellales, Selaginellaceae. The transcript has 2 exons.